This 252-nucleotide ribosomal RNA is filed under the name uncultured bacterium. Its description in RNAcentral is "partial 16S ribosomal RNA". It matches the Rfam family "Bacterial small subunit ribosomal RNA", at positions 214 to 462 of the family's 1533-position model. The record is from RNAcentral.
GGUGGUAUGAGAUGGACCCGCGUCGACGCAUUAGCUAGUUGGUAAGGUAACGGCUUACCAAGGCAAUGAUGCAUAGCCGAGUUGAGAGACUGAUCGGCCACAUUGGGACUGAGACACGGCCCAAACUCCUACGGGAGGCAGCAGUAGGGAAUCUUCCACAAUGGACGCAAGUCUGAUGGAGCAACGCCGCGUGAGUGAAGAAGGUUUUCGGAUCGUAAAGCUCUGUUGUUGGUGAAGAAGGAUAGAGGUAGU